GACGAACCGUGCGAACGUUGUUCGGAAUCACUGGGCUUAAAGGGCGCGUAGGCGGGCGGCAAAGUCAGGGGUGAAAUCCUCCAGCUUAACUGGAGAAGUGCCUUUGAUACUGGUCGUCUUGAGGAAGGUAGGGGCAUGCGGAACUGAUGGUGGAGCGGUGAAAUGUGUUGAUAUCAUCAGGAACUCCGGUGGCGAAAGCGGAGUGCUGGACCUUUUCUGACGCUGAUGCGCGAAAGCCAGGGGAGCAAACGGG
RNAcentral lists this ribosomal RNA (253 nucleotides) under uncultured bacterium. RNAcentral describes it as "partial 16S ribosomal RNA". It matches the Rfam family "Bacterial small subunit ribosomal RNA", at positions 524 to 776 of the family's 1533-position model. The record is from RNAcentral.